This 476-nucleotide ribosomal RNA is filed under the name Kyphosus vaigiensis (brassy chub). RNAcentral's name for it is "partial 16S ribosomal RNA". The stretch from base 190 to 476 matches the Rfam family "Bacterial large subunit ribosomal RNA", at positions 566 to 978 of the family's 2925-position model. The record is from RNAcentral. Lineage: Eukaryota; Metazoa; Chordata; Actinopteri; Centrarchiformes; Kyphosidae.
CGCCCACUAGCUAGCCCCCCAAACCAAAAACAACACACCAAUAUAAAUAUCCCUAAAUGCACUAACACCCGCAUAAAACAAACCAUUUUUCCCCCUUAGUAUGGGCGACAGAAAAGGAACCGUGGCGCAAUAGAGAAAGUACCGCAAGGGAACGCUGAAAGAGAAAUGAAACAACUCAGUCAAGCUAAAAAAAGCAGAGAUUUAAGCUCGUACCUUUUGCAUCAUGAUUUAGCCAGUAAAACCCAAGCAAAGAGCCCUUUAGUUUGGUUUCCCGAAACUAAGUGAGCUACUCCAAGACAGCCUAUUAAUAGGGCAAACCCGUCCCUGUGGCAAAAGGGUGGGAAGAGCUUUGAGUAGAGGUGACAAACCUACCGAACUUAGUUAUAGCUGGUUGCCUGAGAAUUGAAUAGAAGUUCAGCCUCUCGGCUUCUUCCCUCACCCUCGUCCGACCCCCCUCUGACACCUUAAGAAACCGC